AACGAACGCUGGCGGCGUGGAUAAGACAUGCAAGUCGAACGGGACAACAUCUGUAGCAAUACAGGUGUUGUUUAGUGGGCGAACGGGUGCGUAACACGUGGGCAAUCUGCCGAGAAGUGGGGGAUAGCUCGCCGAAAGGCGAAUUAAUACCGCAUAUGAUCAGUGAAGACAUCUUCACGACAUCAAAGCCGGGGCAACCUGGCGCUUCUUGAUGAGCCCGCGGCCUAUCAGCUAGUUGGUGAGGUAACGGCUCACCAAGGCUAUGACGGGUAGCUGGUCUGAGAGGACGACCAGUCACACUGGAACUGAGACACGGUCCAGACACCUACGGGUGGCAGCAGUCGAGUAAUUUUUCUCAAUGGGGCAACCCUGAAGGAGCGACGCCGCGUGGAGGAUGAAGG
Molecule: ribosomal RNA, 401 nt
Filed under: uncultured bacterium
Lineage: Bacteria
Description: bacterial SSU rRNA
Rfam family: Bacterial small subunit ribosomal RNA
Source: RNAcentral